AGCGGUAGCACAGAGAGCUUGCUCUCGGGUGACGAGCGGCGGACGGGUGAGUAAUGUCUGGGAAACUGCCUGAUGGAGGGGGAUAACUACUGGAAACGGUAGCUAAUACCGCAUAACGUCGCAAGACCAAAGUGGGGGACCUUCGGGCCUCAUGCCAUCAGAUGUGCCCAGAUGGGAUUAGCUAGUAGGUGGGGUAACGGCUCACCUAGGCGACGAUCCCUAGCUGGUCUGAGAGGAUGACCAGCCACACUGGAACUGAGACACGGUCCAGACUCCUACGGGAGGCAGCAGUGGGGAAUAUUGCACAAUGGGCGCAAGCCUGAUGCAGCCAUGCCGCGUGUGUGAAGAAGGCCUUCGGGUUGUAAAGCACUUUCAGCGGGGAGGAAGGCGAUAAGGUUAAUAACCUUGUCGAUUGACGUUACCCGCAGAAGAAGCACCGGCUAACUCCGUGCCAGCAGCCGCGGUAAUACGGAGGGUGCAAGCGUUAAUCGGAAUUACUGGGCGUAAAGCGCACGCAGGCGGUCUGUCAAGUCGGAUGUGAAAUCCCCGGGCUCAACCUGGGAACUGCAUUCGAAACUGGCAGGCUAGAGUCUUGUAGAGGGGGGUAGAAUUCCAGGUGUAGCGGUGAAAUGCGUAGAGAUCUGGAGGAAUACCGGUGGCGAAGGCGGCCCCCUGGACAAAGACUGACGCUCAGGUGCGAAAGCGUGGGGAGCAAACAGGAUUAGAUACCCUGGUAGUCCACGCCGUAAACGAUGUCGAUUUGGAGGUUGUGCCCUUGAGGCGUGGCUUCCGGAGCUAACGCGUUAAAUCGACCGCCUGGGGAGUACGGCCGCAAGGUUAAAACUCAAAUGAAUUGACGGGGGCCCGCACAAGCGGUGGAGCAUGUGGUUUAAUUCGAUGCAACGCGAAGAACCUUACCUGGUCUUGACAUCCACAGAACUUGCAGAGAUGGCUUGGUGCCUUCGGGAACUGUGAGACAGGUGCUGCAUGGCUGUCGUCAGCUCGUGUUGUGAAAUGUUGGGUUAAGUCCCGCAACGAGCGCAACCCUUAUCCUUUGUUGCCAGCGGUUAGGCCGGGAACUCAAAGGAGACUGCCAGUGAUAAACUGGAGGAAGGUGGGGAUGACGUCAAGUCAUCAUGGCCCUUACGACCAGGGCUACACACGUGCUACAAUGGCAUAUACAAAGAGAAGCGACCUCGCGAGAGCAAGCGGACCUCAUAAAGUAUGUCGUAGUCCGGAUUGGAGUCUGCAACUCGACUCCAUGAAGUCGGAAUCGCUAGUAAUCGUAGAUCAGAAUGCUACGGUGAAUACGUUCCCGGGCCUUGUACACACCGCCCGUCACACCAUGGGAGUGGGUUGCAAAAGAAGUAGGUAGCUUAACCUUCGGGAGGGCGCUUACCA
RNAcentral lists this ribosomal RNA (1401 nucleotides) under Klebsiella pneumoniae. RNAcentral describes it as "bacterial SSU rRNA". It matches the Rfam family "Bacterial small subunit ribosomal RNA". The record is from RNAcentral. Lineage: Bacteria; Pseudomonadati; Pseudomonadota; Gammaproteobacteria; Enterobacterales; Enterobacteriaceae.